Eriocheir sinensis (Chinese mitten crab) is the source of this 554-nucleotide long non-coding RNA. RefSeq lists it as uncharacterized. The transcript has 4 exons. The record is from RefSeq and is a predicted model, not a curated record. Lineage: Eukaryota; Metazoa; Arthropoda; Malacostraca; Decapoda; Varunidae.
GUCAGUCAGACAGUCAUUCAGUCUCACGUGGAAAGGAAGGGGUUGUGUGCUUUGCCUGUGCCGUUACCUAUAUUACUUGACUUGCUGGGAUUUUGUGAGCGUUUUCAAGAGUUGUGUUUUUCCUCCUCCUCGUCGUCGACCUCUUCUUCCUCCUGUUGCUGGUUGGGGUCCAUUUUCCUAAGCUUCGUCUUCCUCACCAGUCUUCGAAUGUCCUCCUGCAAGAAGUGAGAUAAGAAGCGCUCAGUGUCCUUGUUUACCUCUGUGAUGAGAAGGAAGAGGAGGAUGAGGACGGCGGCGGCUUCGUGAGGAAAUAGAUAGGGGGACGAGGUGAAGAAAAGGCCAGCUGAGUAUCAUGGAAUAAGGUAUUCAUAUUCUACAUCCAUAUUGUAUUAAGGAGUCACCCUCAUGCAAGAACCACAAUGAUGAAUUAAUCACCUUGGUCAGUGAACCAUACACUAUGGACCGGAAACUUGCCCCAGCCAUGUCAUUUAGCAGCGAAUUUUGGAAAAUCAACCGCUGUGGUGCGAAUCGCCAUAACUCCCUUAUUUCUGGGG